AGUCCCAGGGUGCACUGCACCUU
RNAcentral lists this microRNA (23 nucleotides) under Rattus norvegicus (Norway rat). RNAcentral's name for it is "Rno-Mir-1955_5p (mature (guide))". The record is from RNAcentral. Lineage: Eukaryota; Metazoa; Chordata; Mammalia; Rodentia; Muridae.